CACUCCUGCGGGAGGCAGCAGUGGGGAAUUUUGGACAAUGGGCGAAAGCCUGAUCCAGCAAUGCCGCGUGAGUGAAGAAGGCCUUCGGGUUGUAAAGCUCUUUUGUCAGGGAAGAAACGGUGAGAGCUAAUAUCUUUUGCUAAUGACGGUACCUGAAGAAUAAGCACCGGCUAACUACGUGCCAGCAGCCGCGGUAAUACGUAGGGUGCAAGCGUUAAUCGGAAUUACUGGGCGUAAAGCGUGCGCAGGCGGUUUUGUAAGUCUGAUGUGAAAUCCCCGGGCUCAACCUGGGAAUUGCAUUGGAGACUGCAAGGCUAGAAUCUGGCAGAGGGGGGUAGAAUUCCACGUGUAGCAGUGAAAUGCGUAGAUAUGUGGAGGAACACCGAUGGCGAAGGCAGCCCCCUGGGUCAAGAUUGACGCUCAUGCACGAAAGCGUGGGGAGCAAACAGGAUUAGAAACCCCGGUAGUCCCAUG
RNAcentral lists this ribosomal RNA (474 nucleotides) under uncultured organism. Its description in RNAcentral is "partial 16S ribosomal RNA". It matches the Rfam family "Bacterial small subunit ribosomal RNA", at positions 334 to 799 of the family's 1533-position model. The record is from RNAcentral.